This 253-nucleotide ribosomal RNA is filed under the name uncultured bacterium. RNAcentral's name for it is "partial 16S ribosomal RNA". It matches the Rfam family "Bacterial small subunit ribosomal RNA", at positions 524 to 776 of the family's 1533-position model. The record is from RNAcentral.
UACGUAGGGAGCAAGCGUUGUCCGGAAUCAUUGGGUUUAAAGGGUCCGCAGGCGGGAAGAUAAGUCAGUGGUGAAAUCUCACAGCUCAACUGUGAAACUGCCAUUGAUACUGUCUUUCUUGAAUUCGAUCGAAGUGGGCGGAAUGUGACAUGUAGCGGUGAAAUGCUUAGAUAUGUCACAGAACACCGAUAGCGAAGGCAGCUCACUAGGUCUGGAUUGACGCUCAGGGACGAAAGCGUGGGGAGCAAACAGG